This 32-nucleotide ribosomal RNA is filed under the name Bartalinia pondoensis. Its description in RNAcentral is "partial 18S ribosomal RNA". The record is from RNAcentral. Lineage: Eukaryota; Fungi; Ascomycota; Sordariomycetes; Amphisphaeriales; Sporocadaceae.
CUUCCGUAGGGUGAACCUGCGGAGGGAUCAUU